RNAcentral lists this non-coding RNA (77 nucleotides) under Amorphochlora amoebiformis. Lineage: Eukaryota; Cercozoa; Chlorarachniophyceae. The record is from RNAcentral.
AACUAAUACAACUUUUUCCCGUUUCUUCUUUUUUUCUUUCUUGUUUUCAUUUUUUUUUUUUCUUAAUUUCCCGCUUU